GUCCUAGCCGUAAACGAUGCACAUUAGACGUGAGGGGUAUCGACCCCCUUCGUGUCGACGCAAACGCAUUAAAUGUGCCGCCUGGGGAGGUACGGCCGCAAGGUUGAAACUCAAAGGAAUUGACGGGGGCCCCGGCACAAGCGGUGGAGCAUGUGGUUUAAUUCGACGCAACGCGAACAACCUUACCUAGGCUUGAACUGUCGGUAGUAAGAUCGAUGAAAGUCGAGAUGACCCGUAAAGUCGGAUGCCGAUAGAGGUGCUGCAUGGCUGUCGU
RNAcentral lists this ribosomal RNA (274 nucleotides) under uncultured bacterium. RNAcentral's name for it is "partial 16S ribosomal RNA". It matches the Rfam family "Bacterial small subunit ribosomal RNA", at positions 793 to 1055 of the family's 1533-position model. The record is from RNAcentral.